UACGUAGGGGGCGAGCGUUGUCCGGAAUGAUUGGGCGUAAAGGGCGCGUAGGCGGCCCGGUAAGUCUGGAGUGAAAGUCCUGUUUUUAAGAUGGGAAUUGCUUUGGAUACUGUCGGGCUUGAGUGCAGGAGAGGUAAGUGGAAUUCCCAGUGUAGCGGUGAAAUGCGUAGAGAUUGGGAGGAACACCAGUGGCGAAGGCGACUUACUGGACUGUAACUGACGCUGAGGCGCGAAGGUGUGGGGAGCAAACAGGAUUAGAUACCCUGGUAGUCCACACUGUAAACGAUGAAUGCUAGGUGUAAGAGGUAUCGACCCCUUUUGUGCCGGAGUCAUCACAAUAAGCAUUCCGCCUGGGGAGUACGGCCGCAAGGUUGAAACUCAAAGGAAUUGACGGGG
This 396-nucleotide ribosomal RNA is filed under the name uncultured bacterium. RNAcentral's name for it is "partial 16S ribosomal RNA". It matches the Rfam family "Bacterial small subunit ribosomal RNA", at positions 524 to 918 of the family's 1533-position model. The record is from RNAcentral.